Molecule: ribosomal RNA, 489 nt
Filed under: uncultured bacterium
Lineage: Bacteria
Description: partial 16S ribosomal RNA
Rfam family: Bacterial small subunit ribosomal RNA
Source: RNAcentral
AUUGAACGCUGGCGGCAGGCCUACACAUGCAAGUCGAACGGUAACAGGAAGAAGCUUGCUUCUUUGCUGACGAGUGGCGGACGGGUGAGUAAUGUCUGGGAAACUGCCUGAUGGAGGGGGAUAACUACUGGAAACGGUAGCUAAUACCGCAUAAAGUCGCAAGACCAAAGAGGGGGACCUUCGGGCCCCUUGCCCUCGGAUGUGCCCAGAUGGGAUUAGCUAGUAGGGGGGGUAACGGCUCACCUAGGCGACGAUCCCUAGCUGGUCUGAGAGGAUGACCAGCCACACUGGAACUGAGACACGGUCCAGACUCCUACGGGAGGCAGCAGUGGGGAAUAUUGCACAAUGGGCGCAAGCCUGAUGCAGCCAUGCCGCGUGUAUGAAGAAGGCCUUCGGGUUGUAAAGUACUUUCAGCGGGGAGGAAGGGAGUAAAGUUAAUACCUUUGCUCAUUGACGUUACCCGCAGAAGAAGCACCGGCUAACUCCGUG